This 182-nucleotide ribosomal RNA is filed under the name Luteimonas sp. FCS-9. Its description in RNAcentral is "partial 16S ribosomal RNA". It matches the Rfam family "Bacterial small subunit ribosomal RNA", at positions 1 to 173 of the family's 1533-position model. The record is from RNAcentral. Lineage: Bacteria; Pseudomonadati; Pseudomonadota; Gammaproteobacteria; Lysobacterales; Lysobacteraceae.
AUUUAAGUGAAGAGUUUGAUCCUGGCUCAGAGUGAACGCUGGCGGCAGGCCUAACACAUGCAAGUCGAACGGCAGCACAGAGGAGCUUGCUCCUUGGGUGGCGAGUGGCGGACGGGUGAGGAAUACAUCGGAAUCUGCCUAUUUGUGGGGGAUAACGUAGGGAAACUUACGCUAAUACCGCA